This 528-nucleotide long non-coding RNA is filed under the name Homo sapiens (human). RNAcentral's name for it is "novel transcript". The record is from RNAcentral. Lineage: Eukaryota; Metazoa; Chordata; Mammalia; Primates; Hominidae.
AUUGUAUGUCUUACUUAUUUAUUCAUUUGACAUUUUAAUUAGACACUAGCAGUAUUGUUUUCUUUGAAUACAUUUAAAGGUCCUAGAUUUAUUUCUUUUUGAUGCUCAUCUUCUAACUCAUUCCCUCCUAUCAAUCUCAGACUGCUGUAAAUAAAUGAUUUUUUGCCUUUUUUUUUUUUUUUUACUAUUAGUUAUCAUAUUUAUUUUUCUUAAACAAGCUGUACUGGUUAUACAGUCUGAAUUUGGAGAAUAGACGUCUUCAUUCAGGAGGGGAAAUUGAGCCAAGUUUGAAUAUAAUCAUUGGGUAACAAAUCCAGAAGAUUAAGUUACUAAGGAGAACAUGCAAAGUAAACACUUGCAUUUUAUGAACUACCUUCAAUUUAAAUAGACAACUGGGUAACUGUAUAUGACAUGUUUUGGGAGUAAGACCUGUUAAACCUACCUACUUCCUACUGUUUUCAUUUGAAAAAUAAAUCAAUUAUUAAACAGUUAUUCUACACAUUAAAGACUGUAAGUGAUUUAACCUUG